GACAUUGACAUUACGUUAAUGAGGCCCUGCCACCGUCUGAAUCUGCCUGGGGAGGGAUACACCUCUCCUCAGAUCUGGACGCAUCGCCGAGGUCAGUCCUGCACCGUCUUCCAGCAUCGUUAGCCGGCUCUUUUUUCAUACUUUCCAUCAUCGUCAAGAGCGACCACUGAAGCCAAGGGCCUGGCGAAGUUAAUAGAAACUGAUUCGCCGCAUGAAGGGUAUGGCCGAUCAACGGCCGUCCUUGCCGGUAUCAAAGCGAAGCUGCCGAAAGACUGGAAAGGAAAGGAAGGGACAAGGCGCAAUUAAAAUGUAUGAAGUGCGACGUAGAAAAAGAGACCAAUUGAAGUGAAGGUCGGCCACGCGUCCUCGGGACUUUUCCUGGAUAAUCAGGACGGAUCAGCUUCUUUUAACGGGUGUUCGAUGUGUAACCGGCAGGUGCGGAGACGCGUCUUUUUGCUCGUCGAAAAUUCCGCUUCCUCAAGGUCUCACUUCCUGACGAAACUCUCUUUGUGCCGGGUUCAUGUAAGCCCGCAAAUAUUUCGCGAGAAGAUAUUUUCGAGAAGCUAAAAGAAGAUUUUAUCUUUUCACUCGAAAUUAAGGUGAUUCUUAUCACUUCGGAUAAGACGAUAAGAAAAUAAAAAAACAUUAUUUCCUCCUUCUGUGGAAAUUAAGACAUAUUAAUUACGGCGUAUAUCGAAAAAAAAUAUUUUCUAGACAUUUUUCACAAUUCUAUUUAAAGGGGCUUUCAGUUUCAGAAGACUUGAAACUCGCAGAGCUACAUCUUGUUAAUAUUUAUUUAAGCGAUUCAUAUCUGUUCUAUUUAUUAAAUAGAAAUGUAGUAAAUCGUAACACAAGUAUUACAUUAAUUCAUUAUACGCCAACGUAACGUAACGUUCGUUGAGCAACGCCCGAGUGGUAAGACAUAUUUGCACAUAAUGGCGAAUUGUUAACCUUAUGAUUCGCGCGUACAUAAAUGCGAAUUAACACAACUUGUUAAUUACUAAAAUCAUUUUAACUAAUUUAAUAAAUAAUUAAUGAGCAAUCAUAACUAGGUCACUUACGAAAAUCGAUGUUGGGAUCAUCGCGGUGUGCAAUAUAAAAAUUAAGAUAUAUUUAAAAUAUAUUCGAAAUUAACAAGAGUCUUUUAUGCAAAAACACAAAUACAUCUACAAUACGUAGUAUCUACGACACAUAUGAUUCUGUAAUAAAUGACGCUGUCCGGAAUGUUAUG
Long non-coding RNA from Pogonomyrmex barbatus (red harvester ant), 1231 nucleotides. The record is from RefSeq and is a predicted model, not a curated record. Lineage: Eukaryota; Metazoa; Arthropoda; Insecta; Hymenoptera; Formicidae.